RNAcentral lists this transfer RNA (85 nucleotides) under Felis catus (domestic cat). It matches the Rfam family "tRNA". Rfam says of the family: Transfer RNA (tRNA) molecules are approximately 80 nucleotides in length. Their secondary structure includes four short double-helical elements and three loops (D, anti-codon, and T loops). RNAcentral also lists the same sequence under 1 other name. The record is from Rfam by way of RNAcentral. Lineage: Eukaryota; Metazoa; Chordata; Mammalia; Carnivora; Felidae.
GCCUGGGUGGCUCAGUGGGUUGAGCAUCCGACUUUGGCUCAGGUCGUGAUCUCAUGGUUCGUGGGUUCGAGCCCCACAUGGGGCU